AAAGUAGUGAAGUAAAAUUUACUUUUAGUUUCGACCUAAAAUUAGGGCAUAAGCCCCUUACUUUU
RNAcentral lists this transfer RNA (65 nucleotides) under Peirates atromaculatus. Its description in RNAcentral is "tRNA-Arg". The record is from RNAcentral. RNAcentral also lists the same sequence under 1 other name. Lineage: Eukaryota; Metazoa; Arthropoda; Insecta; Hemiptera; Reduviidae.